Molecule: non-coding RNA, 30 nt
Filed under: Rattus norvegicus (Norway rat)
Lineage: Eukaryota; Metazoa; Chordata; Mammalia; Rodentia; Muridae
Source: RNAcentral
UGGUCAUGGUCAGCCUUUUUAAGCAUGAGU